This 487-nucleotide ribosomal RNA is filed under the name uncultured bacterium. RNAcentral describes it as "bacterial SSU rRNA". It matches the Rfam family "Bacterial small subunit ribosomal RNA", at positions 29 to 520 of the family's 1533-position model. The record is from RNAcentral.
AUUGAACGCUGGCGGUAUGCCUUACACAUGCAAGUCGAACGGUAGAGGAGCAAUCCUCGAGAGUGGCGAACGGGUGAGUAAUACAUCGGAACGUGCCCAGUCGUGGGGGAUAACGUAGCGAAAGCUACGCUAAUACCGCAUACGACCUGAGGGUGAAAGCGGGGGACCGCAAGGCCUCGCGCGAUUGGAGCGGCCGAUGGCAGAUUAGGUAGUUGGUGGGGUAAAGGCCCACCAAGCCUGCGAUCUGUAGCUGGUCUGAGAGGACGACCAGCCACACUGGGACUGAGACACGGCCCAGACUCCUACGGGAGGCAGCAGUGGGGAAUUUUGGACAAUGGGCGAAAGCCUGAUCCAGCCAUACCGCGUGCGGGAAGAAGGCCUCGGUGUAAGCUCUUCGGCUGGGAAGAAAUCGCACAGGCUAAUACUCUGUGUGGAUGACGGUACCAGCACAAGAAGCACCGGCUAACUACGUGCCAGCAGCCGACGG